GAUGAACGCUGGCGGUCUGCUUAACACAUGCAAGUCGAACGGAAUCCUUCGGGAUUUAGUGGCGGACGGGUGAGUAACGCGUGAGAAUCUGCCUUCAGGUUCGGGACAACAGCUGGAAACGGCUGCUAAUACCGGAUGUGCCGAGAGGUGAAAGCUUUAGUGCCUGAAGAUGAGCUCGCGUCUGAUUAGCUAGUAGGAGUGGUAAUGGCACCCCUAGGCGACGAUCAGUAGCUGGUCUGAGAGGAUGAUCAGCCACACUGGGACUGAGACACGGCCCAGACUCCUACGGGAGGCAGCAGUGGGGAAUUUUCCGCAAUGGGCGCAAGCCUGACGGAGCAAGACCGCGUGAGGGAAGAAGGUCUGUGGAUUGUAAACCUCUUUUGAUGGGGAAGAAGACAGUGACGGUACCCAUCGAAUCAGCCUCGGCUAACUCCGUGCCAGCAGCCGCGGUAA
RNAcentral lists this ribosomal RNA (453 nucleotides) under uncultured bacterium. RNAcentral describes it as "partial 16S ribosomal RNA". It matches the Rfam family "Bacterial small subunit ribosomal RNA", at positions 28 to 523 of the family's 1533-position model. The record is from RNAcentral.